CCGCACGCCAACGCCGAGAAUGUCUGCGACGGCCGAGUCGUCCGCAGUCGGCUCCAGCUUCUUCCUCGGCAUGAACCCGUCGCCACAAGCGUUCGCCAAGUAUGCCAAGAAGCACAACAUCUUUCUUCAUCCGGAUGUAGCGUUUCUGGUCCCAACCAAGACGAUGGGCAUGGGCGUGUUUGCCGCCCGCCCGCUUCACGCCGGCACGGUGGUGAUUAGCUGUCCCGAGACCUCCGGGGUAUCCCCAUACAUGAAGGAAGUGCCCACCUCGCCCUGUGUGGCCGCCCUGCACGCGAGUCCGACUGCCAUGGAGGACGCAGCGCUUUUUGAUGCCCUGGUGCUCAUGGCGGAGCUAGGCCGAGAAAACUCGCCGUGGCGGCCGUGGCUGGAGGUCUGCCCACGCAUGGCGCAUCACUUCUUCGACCUAUCCUCCGCUCAAGCGGCUGUGCUAGGCACGGAGAGUGUGAUGGGGGGUUGGACGGGUGCUAAUUUGGAGGCACCUCGCACAGUCGAGGACACCACCGUCGUUGCCUCGGCAACGUUGGGGUUGGCUGGUGUCACUGGCGUGGCGCAGGCACUCGGCGAGCUGCGUGUGAUGCAGCGGUGGGCUACUGCUCAGGCUAUCAUGGCGGCCUUACCGGACGUAUGGCCCGCCGACAAAGCCUCCUUCGGCCUCUUUUCCGAGGCGCUCUCGCAGGUGUUCUCCCGCAACUUUCACCGCGAGGAUCUUCCGGGGCGAGAAGGCCCCUACCUUCUGCCCGGCCUCGACAUCUUAAACCAUUCCUUUGCCGCCAACACCGCCUUCGAAGUCCGCGGCGGUGGCCGCAAACACGCCACCGCCUUUACCGUCGUCACCACUCGCGCGGUGCAGAAGGGCGAGCAGGUGUACGGCUGCUACGGCCGCAUCGGCGCUGCACGUUUUGCCGUCGAGUUUCAGUUUGUGACCAAAGCGGUGCUGCGAAACGACCUAGUGCGUUGCUCGGCCGCGUCGCUUGCUACGGUGGCGACGUUACUGCAAUACUGGAAGGCCGCGGGGGAGACUCCUGGGUGCACCGUGGACUCGUCGGCGAUUACCGCGUACCUGCAGCGUUGCACCGAUGGCGCUGCAUUGGCGGUGGGAGCAGGGGCAAUGGCAUGGAAACCGGCUUUUUUUGGCGGCGACUCUGCGGCGGAUGUCGAGGCGCGUCGUAAGGAGAUGGAGCGGCGAGUCGAGCGGCUGCAGCGCCUGGGUAUCUUGUACGACGAGGGGCUUUACCUUGUGCGGCCAUACGCGACGUGGGAGGCGGAGGAGGCUGCUGAGCCGGCAUCCACCUUUCGCUGGAGUACGCCGGCGGCGCACGAGGAGGAGAUUGCUGAAAACCGCCGCGUGCUGGCUGCCACAGUGUAUCUCCUCACCGCCUCCAAGAGCGUGUACGACGAGGUCUAUCACCGCGUCACCGCCGACUGGGAGCCACCGGAGUCCGCUCAGAUGUCCGCUGCGGUGCGGGACUUUUUGCACAUCCGGAUUGUUGCGGCGCAGUUGCAGCACGAUGCAGCGUGCGGUGUCUUUGGUGACUCCUCCCGCGAUGUGGUGCGCCGCCAGCUCGUGCAAGACGUGCUGGUCUCUGAGAUGGAGACUCUGCGCUACUACGCUAAUUCCUUUGCCUGAGUUGUUCCAAGUCGCACAAAAAGAGGAUGGGGGCUGAGUGGCUUGAAUAGUAAAGUGCGCACGUGUGUGGGGUGCGUACGUGCAUGCACGAAUGCAGGGAACGGAAUCGGGAGCGGAGACGGCUUGCUCAUCACUUCUAUCUUCUCACAGCUUCACCGUGCGCAUCGAGCAAACUCGCUUGUUCUUACGCCGGCCCAUCUCUUACCGUUCUCCUUUUCUUUUGCGAAUGUCUCCAUGACGCGGUACUACGUCUAAGCAGUCGACGUAAAGAAAACG
RNAcentral lists this unclassified non-coding RNA (1924 nucleotides) under Leishmania donovani. RNAcentral's name for it is "gene:LdHU3.36.6140(CDS-product:SET_domain_contain ing_protein_putative)". The record is from RNAcentral. Lineage: Eukaryota; Euglenozoa; Kinetoplastea; Trypanosomatida; Trypanosomatidae.